This 24-nucleotide microRNA is filed under the name Amborella trichopoda. RNAcentral describes it as "atr-miR8552b". The record is from miRBase by way of RNAcentral. Lineage: Eukaryota; Viridiplantae; Streptophyta; Magnoliopsida; Amborellales; Amborellaceae.
UACCGGACAUCUGUGAUCGUCAGA